Non-coding RNA from Manis javanica (Malayan pangolin), 614 nucleotides. The record is from the annotation of a RefSeq genome assembly. NCBI's taxonomy places the organism in Eukaryota, Metazoa, Chordata, Mammalia, Pholidota, Manidae.
CAGGGUUUAUAAAAGGGGCCUUUGCCAUGGGAGCUGAGCUGCAUCAGGCAGGCAGGAGCAGCAAGAUGGUGUCACAGACGCAGGUCCUCAUGUUCUUGUUGCUCUGGGUCACAGGUGCCUGCGGGGACAUCGUGAUGACCCAGUCUCCAGCCUCCUUGGCUGUGUCUCCAGGACAGAGGGUCACCAUUAACUGCAGGGCCAGUCAGAGUGUUAGCAGCUACGUAGCCUGGUACCAGCAGAAGCCUGGGCAGGCUCCAAGAUGGCUCAUCUACUUGGCAUCCACCCGGGAAUCUGGGGUCCCUGACCGGUUCAGUGGCAGUGGGUCUGGGACAGAUUUCACUUUCACCAUCAGCAGUGCCCAGGCUGAGGAUUUGGCAACUUAUUACUGCAUGCAGGGUGACAGCUAUCCUCCCACAGUGCUUCAGCCUCCAACACAAACCCCAGGUCCCCGGAAGGACCAGGCCCCUGUGAGGUGCAGGCAGCUCUCCUGUGAGGACCCAGAGCAGUUCUGGGAGCCUCAGGCCAGCCAAGGGUCCCUGCGCCUGCGCAAGCUGGAGCCCCUCAUCCCAGAUGCUCCUUUCCACAGGGAUGAGUCUGGGGGUGUGGGGCUGUGA